Molecule: non-coding RNA, 867 nt
Organism: Arachis ipaensis
Lineage: Eukaryota; Viridiplantae; Streptophyta; Magnoliopsida; Fabales; Fabaceae
Source: RefSeq, a predicted model, not a curated record
UAUUUAGUUAUUGAAAUGCUUUCUUUUUAAAAAAAAAAGUGAGACGUGUAUGUAAAGACCUUAAUCAGACAAGAGAGAGAUAGUAAAGAAAAAUAUAUUUUCCUAUAUAUAGAGGGACAAAUUAAUAACAAGUAUUCAAGUAAUGACUUAUUAUGCCACUCUCACGGGUUUGAAAUUAGAAUUUUAUGAUGGUGGACUGGUGGUUGUUGUUGUUGUUGUUGUAGUAUUUGGUAUUUUAGAAUUAUUGCUGAACCUGAGCAAAAUUUUUUGUUGCUGGAUAACAUCAUUGAGUUGAAUUUUGUUGCUGGAUAAUAUCACGGGGUUGAAUUUUGUUGCUGGAUAACAUCAUUGGGUUGAGUUUAAUACUUGAAUAGUUGAAUUUGUUAUUGUGUUGUUUAAAAAAUCACUUAGCUAAAUCUUUUGUUGCUGUAAAUUUUUUGUUCCUUUGCCAAGUAUAUUGAUUUUUUUUGUUGAAUGGAAAAUUUAGGAUGGGUGUAUAGUUUCUGUGAUGAGGAUAUUGGUGCUUUGAUAAGCAUGUGCUUAUGCCUUUGGUUGGUAAUGCAAUAGGUUUUGAAUUUCAGCAGAUUGUUGAUAUUGGCAAAACUCUGCCAUUGUUCAUGGAGCUUCAAACCUUAGGUGACAGGAUGUGAAGAACCAUGCUCUGCAAAGUGUGUUGUUUUCAAUGUUGCAGGUCUCAUUUAAUUUGAGUUGAACCGUUUGGUUAUGUUGCCUGUGGGAUUUCCUCACAUUUUUGUGCUAACUGAACAAUUUGAAACUAUAGGCGUGUGACACUUAUUAGAAGCUUCUCCAUGAGAAAGAAGAUGUAUGAAUAUGAUGGAGUUUGUAAUUUGUAGUUUAUAUUUUAGA